CUCUGUUGGUAUCUAUCAGCAGGGAAUCAUCACCCCUACACAGUCAAGGACUAAGGUCCUUGCACAAGUGCAUGAUAAUCCUGAGUGUGUAUCUUCACAUCACCUCUCUAAAAUAAGAAGACGGGAAGCUCAAGCACAAAGACCAAGUGAUUUGUUCAAAACCACCAAAAUGCCUUUUGCAGAGUCGAGUGUGGCUAUCUCACAGCUCAGGUCUACAGAUCCCAGGCCGCUGGUUCGUAUGUGUCCACUGCGUUGGAUCAAUUGCCCUGGACAAAGGCAGUAGCUGUAACCAAGCUGAAGGCCAAUGUGCUCCAUAGGAGGCUUUACACUCCUCUAGUCAUCCAGACUGGGAACCUCUACAUCACCUCCAAGUCCAUGCAUCCAUGUUUCCUCUCUAUGCUGUCAGGUAAUACCAGGAAGCCCAGCACAUGCAAGUUUAUUCGAUUACCAGAUCAGCCAACUGGUAUUCAAUACCAUAAAGGAACUUUCCAGUGCCCAAGAAGUGAUUUGUACUGAAAAGGAUCAAGGUGAAGCACACCACAGCUGCUCUUCUGUUAAAGAAAUGACUGGCCGAUCAAAAUUGCCCGAAGUCCACUGUGGCUUGUUUGGCUGAGCAUGCUGCCAAAACAGCUAUUGAAACGACAGGGAGUUAAAACUAACCGAUGACCAUGGCUUCACACCGUGAUUGUCUGGCUGCGCUGGGACUCUGUGCUGAUGUUUCUGCAGCUUG
Molecule: long non-coding RNA, 730 nt
Filed under: Struthio camelus australis
Lineage: Eukaryota; Metazoa; Chordata; Aves; Struthioniformes; Struthionidae
Description: lncRNA (ENSSCUG00000010736.1)
Source: RNAcentral